AUUGAACGCUGGCGGCAUGCCUUACACAUGCAAGUCGAACGGCAGCACGGGUGCUUGCACCUGGUGGCGAGUGGCGAACGGGUGAGUAAUACAUCGGAACAUGUCCUGUAGUGGGGGAUAGCCCGGCGAAAGCCGGAUUAAUACCGCAUACGAUCUACGGAUGAAAGCGGGGGACCUUCGGGCCUCGCGCUAUAGGGUUGGCCGAUGGCUGAUUAGCUAGUUGGUGGGGUAAAGGCCUACCAAGGCGACGAUCAGUAGCUGGUCUGAGAGGACGACCAGCCACACUGGGACUGAGACACGGCCCAGACUCCUACGGGAGGCAGCAGUGGGCAAUUUUGGACAAUGGGCGAAAGCCUGAUCCAGCAAUGCCGCGUGUGUGAAGAAGGCCUUCGGGUUGUAAAGCACUUUUGUCCGGAAAGAAAUCCUUGGCCCUAAUACGGUCGGGGGAUGACGGUACCGGAAGAAUAAGCACCGGCUAACUACGUG
RNAcentral lists this ribosomal RNA (486 nucleotides) under uncultured bacterium. RNAcentral's name for it is "partial 16S ribosomal RNA". It matches the Rfam family "Bacterial small subunit ribosomal RNA", at positions 30 to 507 of the family's 1533-position model. The record is from RNAcentral.